AAAGCUAAUUAAAUUUAAUUUGUAUAUCUAUCUAAAACUGGUGUGGGAUUUGAAAAAUAGCAAAUGACGGAAGCACAUGAGCCUCGCAAAGAAUGUGGUCGCCGCACGUUUGCGCAACGUGUACCUUCAUUCUCUGUGAUUGUUGUUUAUUGCUUCCACAGUUGCAUAGAUCAUAAAACUUUCAAUCUGUUUAUGUCAGCAGUCAACACUGGAUGAAGUUUCCUCAUUUGUGACAGGGUAGCGGUGGUUCUAACGAUGGAACGGUGUCAUCGGUGAAUGUUUUUCUAAAUUUCUUAAAAUUAAUUCUAUUAUUUUGUUGUGAGGGUAUGUUUGACAAUAAAUAUUUUAGUUGAGGACACUUUUGUAUUUGUCUACUUUUGUUAUUUUUACAAUUGUUUGUUUAUUACAUUUUUCAUUUUUAAUUUUACAGAAUUAAAAUUUUUUAAACUUAACUUUGAUUAAAAUAGAUAUCCGUUGGGUAAGAAUUAUUGUCCACGUCGAUCAUAUAUUAUGAUUAUGAAUAUCCGUUAUUGAUCGAUCCAUUUGCCAUCCCGGGUAAUAGGUGCUCUCGUCACUCGGUAACUUCGCCUGAUAAAUCUCAACAAUGCCUUAAUUCGGUGCCCAUCGAGAAGAUAAAAAGCAGUAACUUUCCAGCUGGUAUACUGAUAAUCAUUUUUAAGCCCAAAAAUGUCAUAAAGAAAAGAAACCCAUUAGAGGUUGCUCUGUGUGCAUCUUCCGGGGAUGGUGAAAAUAAUUACGCACUAUAUAUAGCUAAUUAUUGAGCCAGUGUGAUUGGACCCUAACGAAAAAUUGAGUACCUUUUCCAGUACAUAACUAAACGCUACUCGAUCAAAUCCAGUGAAUAAAAUUAUAUUACUUGGUAGGUAGACCCAUCCUCUGGCUGUGAGUCCGAUGAAGAGAAUAUAUACAUCAGACUAAGAACUUGUAAUUAAUUGCAUGUAGCUUGUUUAGGCUUGUUGGGCUAAAGCAGAGACAAAGGUGGCAGUGGGUAUUGUGAAAAGGAUGCCAAGGCGUGGCCUGCAGCACUGCCCACAAGGGCCUAUUUAAGGGCGGCGGGAUACCGCUGCGCCGAAUACCGGCGGGAUAUCAGGAUCUUUGCAUUCUAUCUUGGGUCGGGUUAGAUCCGACCAUAAGUUUUACUUUUACCCUUUUAGCAGAUCUCAGUACACGUAUCAGAGACUCUGAGCCCGUUCUGAUUUCUUUUCUAUAAAUAAAUACUCACGGAGUCACGGUCGUCGUAUAAGCUUUCAUUUCAUAUGCAUGCAUUAAUUAUUAUGGUAAAGUGUAUAGAAAGAGUUGACCUUUCUAUGCAUUAAUCGGACAUGGUGUGUUUAAGACCGAACGGUGAAUACCGCCUGGUCUGAUUGAUUCCAACCUGCUUCUACUUGAAGAAAAAAUGAAAGUGAGAGGCCGAGAUGCGAAAUAUUUAUAACUGGUGACAGAUUCUUGUCCAAUUAUUAUUUUCUUUUGCUUUCUUUCUGCCUUUGCUUGUUGCUAGCUUCUCUUGUUCUUCCUCUCUUGGCUGGUGUUAAUGAGUAAUGACAUCUGUAUUGUUGUCUUAAUAAUAUUGAUUAAAAUUACAAAGAAAUUAUUGUAAGCGCCAAAGAUUUUUUGUUGAAGAUUUUGUUUUUAUACUUUUGAGAGUAGAACAUAUAUAAAUCUUACGACAAAAAGAAAGGAGAACUGAAAUUUAUUAAUUGGAAAAUAAUAGGGUUUUAUACAUAAAAGACAGGUGGGGUAUGCAAAAUCUAUAUUAGUUUUAGGGUGCAUUUGGAAUUGAGUUUGAACAGCUGUAACUUUUAAGGUAUAAUGUUAAAAUAUUUGGUAAACACUACCUGGUGUAUCUUGGAAGUAGGGAUGGCAAUGGGGGAGGGGAGGGGAGGGGACCGAUCUCCCCGUACCCAUCCCCGAUAUUUUACGUAUGUCCCCAUCCCCUCCCCGUCCUCGUCAGAAUUACUUGAGAGAAUCCCCAUCCCCUCCCCGAAUAAUAACAGGGGAUCCCCGAGGUUCCCCGAUCCCCGAAUAACUAAUACAUUUUUUUUUUUCGAUUUUGAGUUAAUCAUAUUAAAAUAAAAAAUUCAAAUAAAAGUAAAGUUCGAAAUAUAUCUUACAUUAAUAUCUAUUACAAAAGUCACAUACAUUAAAUUAGUAAGUAACGCAACAUGCAAGGGAUACAAACUUAUUUUACAAACUAUCAUGAACAAAUUAAUAGUCUAAUACAAAAUUGUUACAAAUAAAAUCGAAUUUAGAUUCAAAAUUAACUUUUUCAAUGGUGGCGUGGGCACUUUAUAAAUGUGGACUAUUCCCUUUACAACACAAUAGUUAAAUCGGAGCAAAUCAAAAAUAAAUAUUAGAUUAGAUUAGAUUAGAUAUUAAAAUUGUGAUUCGCUGUGGGCAAUUAUAACAUCUAAAAUUAAAUAAAAAAUAGAUUUAAGUUUAAAAUAUUUAAAGAAUAUCAAAAUUAAAAAAAAUGUUUGGCUAAUAGAAUCUACUCGGUCUU
This 2521-nucleotide long non-coding RNA is filed under the name Citrus x clementina. RNAcentral's name for it is "Citrus clementina (C. clementina) long non-coding RNA (CCLE_LNC003693)". The record is from RNAcentral. Lineage: Eukaryota; Viridiplantae; Streptophyta; Magnoliopsida; Sapindales; Rutaceae.